UGGCGAACGGGUGAGUAACAUGUGGGUGAUCUGCCCUGCACUUCGGGAUAAGCCUGGGAAACUGGGUCUAAUACCGGAUAGGAGCCAUUUUUAGUGUGAUGGUUUGGAAAGUUUUUUCGGUGUAGGAUGAGCUCGCGGCCUAUCAGCUUGUUGGUGGGGUAAUGGCCUACCAAGGCGGCGACGGGUAGCCGGCCUGAGAGGGUGGACGGCCACAUUGGGACUGAGAUACGGCCCAG
This 236-nucleotide ribosomal RNA is filed under the name uncultured Actinomycetales bacterium. Its description in RNAcentral is "partial 16S ribosomal RNA". It matches the Rfam family "Bacterial small subunit ribosomal RNA", at positions 96 to 334 of the family's 1533-position model. The record is from RNAcentral. Lineage: Bacteria; Bacillati; Actinomycetota; Actinomycetes; Actinomycetales.